AUUGAACGCUGGCGGCAUGCUUUACACAUGCAAGUCGAACGGUAACAGGCCUUCGGGUGCUGACGAGUGGCGAACGGGUGCGUAAUGCAUCGGAACGUACCCAGAGGUGGGGGAUAACGCAGCGAAAGCUGUGCUAAUACCGCAUGUGAUCUGAGGAUGAAAGCGGGGGACCGAGCAGCAAUGUUUGGCCUCGCGCCUUUGGAGCGGCCGAUGUCGGAUUAGCUAGUCGGGAAGGUAAAGGCUUACCAAGGCGACGAUGCGUAGCUGGUCUGAGAGGGGGAGAGGCAACACUGGAACUGAGACACGGUCCAGACUCCGACGGGAGGCAGAAGGAGGGAAUCGUCCGCAAUGGGCGAAAGACUGACGGAGCAACGCAGAGUGAGUGAUGAAGGUCGUCGGAUCGUAAAACUAUGUUAUUAGGGAAGAACAAAUGUGUAAGUAACUAUGCACGUCUUGACGGUACCUAAUCAGAAAGCCACGGCUAACUACGUG
RNAcentral lists this ribosomal RNA (492 nucleotides) under uncultured bacterium. RNAcentral describes it as "partial 16S ribosomal RNA". It matches the Rfam family "Bacterial small subunit ribosomal RNA", at positions 29 to 507 of the family's 1533-position model. The record is from RNAcentral.